UAACAUGCAUGUUUCAUUAAAAAUUACAAAGUUGUUCAGGACUACCAACCUUACAGUAGAGGUUGAGUAGUAUAUUUCUUCUACAUUC
Molecule: small nucleolar RNA, 88 nt
Organism: Sorex araneus (European shrew)
Lineage: Eukaryota; Metazoa; Chordata; Mammalia; Eulipotyphla; Soricidae
Product: small nucleolar RNA U109
Exons: 1
Source: RefSeq, a predicted model, not a curated record